This 217-nucleotide ribosomal RNA is filed under the name uncultured bacterium. RNAcentral's name for it is "partial 16S ribosomal RNA". It matches the Rfam family "Bacterial small subunit ribosomal RNA", at positions 307 to 526 of the family's 1533-position model. The record is from RNAcentral.
GCCUCCCUCGCCGCCAUCAGACUCCUACGGGAGGCAGCAGUAAGGAAUAUUGGUCAAUGGACGAAAGUCUGAACCAGCCAUGCCGCGUGAAGGAUGAAGGCCCUCUGGGUUGUAAACUUCUUUUAUCUUGGGACGAAAAAAGGGAAUUACUUUCCCACUUUGACGGUACCAGAGGAAUAAGCACCGGCUAACUCCGUGCCAGCAGCCGCGGUAAUAC